GAGGGAUAUUGGUCAAUGGGCGCAAGCCUGAACCAGCGACGCCGCGUGGGUGAAGAAGGUCUUCGGAUCGUAAAGCCCUUUUCCCACUGAAGAGGAAGGACGGUAGGUGGGGAAGAAGUCUCGGCUAACUACGUGCCAGCAGCCGCGGUAAAACGUAGGAGACAAGCGUUAUCCGGAGUUACUGGGCGUAAAGGGCGUGCAGGUGGCGUCUUAAGUCUGUUGUGAAAGCGCCUGGCUUAACCGGGCGAGGCCAAUGGAGACUGAGAGGCUGGAGGACGGCGGAGGGGUGUGGAAUUCCGGGUGUAGUGGUGAAAUGCGUAGAGAUCCGGAGGAACACCAGAGGCGAAGGCGGCACUCUAAGCCGUACCUGACACGGAGACGCGACAGCACGGGGAGCAAACG
Molecule: ribosomal RNA, 402 nt
Filed under: uncultured bacterium
Lineage: Bacteria
Description: bacterial SSU rRNA
Rfam family: Bacterial small subunit ribosomal RNA
Source: RNAcentral